Molecule: ribosomal RNA, 457 nt
Filed under: uncultured bacterium
Lineage: Bacteria
Description: partial 16S ribosomal RNA
Rfam family: Bacterial small subunit ribosomal RNA
Source: RNAcentral
CCUCGGGUGGCAGCAGUGGGGAAUAUUGCACAAUGGGGGAAACCCUGAUGCAGCGACGCCGCGUGAGUGAAGAAGUAAUUCGUUACGUAAAGCUCUAUCAGCAGGGAAGAAACACUGACCUUACGGUCAGCAGACGGUACCUGAGUCAGAAGCCCCGGCUAACUACGUGCCAGCAGCCGCGGUAAUACGUAGGGGGCAAGCGUUAUCCGGAUUUCCUGGGUGUAAAGGGAGCGUAGACGGUGCGCCAAGUCUGGAGUGAAAGGCCGCAGCUUAACUGCGGAACUGCUUUGGAAACUGGCGAACGAGAGUGCGGGAGGGGUAAGCGGAAUUCCUAGUGUAGCGGUGAAAUGCGUAGAUAUUAGGAGGAACACCGGUGGCGAAGGCGGCUUACUGGACCGUAACUGACGUUGAGGCUCGAAAGCGUGGGGAGCAAACAGGAUUAGAUACCCUUGUAGUC